RNAcentral lists this ribosomal RNA (721 nucleotides) under uncultured bacterium. RNAcentral describes it as "bacterial SSU rRNA". It matches the Rfam family "Bacterial small subunit ribosomal RNA", at positions 778 to 1496 of the family's 1533-position model. The record is from RNAcentral.
UUAGAUACCCUGGUAGUCCACGCCGGUAACCGAUGAUUANUAGGUGUCGGUGGGUAUGGACCCAUCGGUGCCGCAGCAAACGCAGUAAGUAAUCCACNUGGGGAGUACGUUCGCAAGAAUGAAACUCAAAGGAAUUGACGGGGACCCGCACAAGCGGUGGAGCAUGUGGUUUAAUCCGAAGCAACGCGAAGAACCUUACCAAGUCUUGACAUCCCAUCGAAUAAAGGGUAAUGCCUUUAGACCUUCGGGACGAUGGAGACAGGUGGUGCAUGGUUGUCGUCAGCUCGUGUCGUGAGAUGUUGGGUUAAGUCCCGCAACGAGCGCAACCCUUAUCUUCAGUAGCCAGCGAGCAGGGUCGGGCACUCUGGAGAGACUGCCGGGGAUAACCCGGAGGAAGGUGGGGAUGACGUCAAAUCAUCAUGCCCCUUAUGAUUUGGGCUACACACGUGCUACAAUGGCGUAAACAGAGGGAAGCGAGCCCGCGAGGGGGAGCAAAUCCCAAAAAUAACGUCCCAGUUCGGAUUGUAGUCUGCAACCCGACUACAUGAAGCUGGAAUCGCUAGUAAUCGCGGAUCAGAAUGCCGCGGUGAAUACGUUCCCGGGUCUUGUACACACCGCCCGUCACACCAUGGGAGUCGGAAAUGCCCGAAGUCUGUGACCCAACCGUGAGGAAGGAGCAGCCGAAGGCAGGUCGGAUGACUGGGGUGAAGUCGUAACAAGG